UUUCUCUCAUAUUCCCACAUGCUCCACACCCGGCUACAAAAGAUCACCAUGCAUACAUUGCCCUUCUGUGCUGUGGAGUGUAGGGCAGCCAACAAGGCCACCUCUCUUUAACUCUACACUGGCAGGCAGCCUGCUCGACGCUACUUCUGAUUGCUUUGAUGGAAGUAAAACAAAACAGACCCCUGUAUCCCACUGCAGGAACCCACUGAGGCACAGCACAGAUUCCUAGUUUGAAAUGAGCGUCAGUGGCUGCCAACACACAUCGUCAAAGCUUGGUGGUGAGACCCAGGCUGGCACGGACAUCUUCUCCAGCUCCCGGUUAGAGGCCGUCUGUCCGAGGCGCCAGCAAAGCUCUGCGCAUUCCCACCGUGAGUGCCCUUCUCGAUGGCCUCACUUGCGGCGUCACCACAACGCAGGGCAAUUAUUACUGACGUGGCACAGUGAAGAAGUCAUCGGUGCGUACGGUACAUUUUCAUUGUAUGUGGUGCACAGGGUCUUCCAAGUUGAAAAGUAAAUGCAUAGACACGUUGAAUUGGCAUAGCCUCAUUUAAUCAGUACUUAGUUCUAUUGUUCUAUUUCAGGUACUGCCCUAAAACGGACAAACAAAGGUAAACAGGGUAAACAAAGACGCCAUCUCUGCCCUUAAGGAACUCAGAUGAGAUGUUAUAAACACUGAAAAUAUCAAGUACUGUGUUCAAAAUAUAAGACCAUUGGUCCUUUGAAAUAGCUCAGCAGUACAGUGCCUGCCUGGCAAGUGCAAGGGCCUGAGCUUGAUUCAUGGUUUUGCUUAAAAUACAUGUAUUUAUAUUCAUAUUCAUAUUGCCAUUACUAUCGCAUGUUUGUUGCAUGGUCACAGUUUCAGAGUGCCUCAAAGAUAGUAUGUCUGGUAGAGAUACAGAAAUGAAAACUGUACAUAUCACAUUAAACAGCAUCUCAGCUGUCACCCUAUUCACAAUAGAGACCCCCAAAUGAAUUUCGGAAGAUGUAGGUAAUCAUCUCACUGUGCUUAUAGAAGCGUAUUUCUGACGUGAAUAUAGAUGGAGAAAAAAGGAUGUAAACAAUGACUGCCUUAAUAGAUGGUGAUAGUAGUCCAAGACAGAAAUGAUGAGUUCAGAAUACACAAUACAGAGAGGAAAAGCCACGUAAAAUAGAUUUGAGGGAGUUUUGUAAAGUCACAAAAGGACCUGAAAACAAGAGAAAUGUGGUUGGUCGGGAACAUGGAGUAAGUUACCCUAUCUCUAGAUUCGAUUCGUUAACUGAGGAGAUGAUACUUAUAACCAACCCAGAGACUGCAGAACAAACAAAGUCGUAGGAAAUGGGAACAAGGAGAUGGGGCAGAAUGAGUUGGAUUUUGAAGUUUUUACUUCUGUGAUAACUGUAGGGAAUAAUAGAAAGCAAAAUAUAGCUCUACUUAUUAAAAGAAUGAUAGGAGCUAUCCAUAUAUGUUAGGAAAUAGGCAGCAAUCUAAUCUAAGGGAGAUCUGAAAUUGUCAUAA
Long non-coding RNA from Chinchilla lanigera (long-tailed chinchilla), 1495 nucleotides. NCBI's taxonomy places the organism in Eukaryota, Metazoa, Chordata, Mammalia, Rodentia, Chinchillidae. The record is from Ensembl.